RNAcentral lists this ribosomal RNA (1927 nucleotides) under Actinomycetota bacterium. RNAcentral describes it as "partial 23S ribosomal RNA". It matches the Rfam family "Bacterial large subunit ribosomal RNA", at positions 1 to 1906 of the family's 2925-position model. The record is from RNAcentral. Lineage: Bacteria; Bacillati; Actinomycetota.
GAUUUCCGCAGGUAGGGCACACGGUGGAUGCCUUGGCGUCUGGGGCCGAUGAAGGACGUGGCCAGGCGACGAUACGCCUCGGGAAGCCGCGGGCAGGCUGUGAUCCGAGGAUCUCCGAAUGGGGCAACCCGAUCCGGGUCAUACCGGAUCACCCCCGGCUGAAUCGAUAGGCCGGGUGGAGGGAACCGGGGGAACUGAAACAUCUCACUACCCCGAGGAAGAGAAAGCAUUCCCGUAGUAGCGGCGAGCGAACCGGGAGCAGCCCAAACCGGGCUGGUGGCACAGGCUGCCGCCGAUGCCAGUCCGGGGUUGUACGGCCGAAGAGGAGGCGCGGCAGGGCCUCCCCGGAGUGAGCAACCAGCUGUCCAGCCGAACGCUGCUGGAAGGGGCGACCGGAGCGGGUGAGAGUCCCGUAGGCGGUCGACAGCUGGCUCCGCUUCGGUGCGUGAGUACCGCGGGACACGCGGAAUCCCGUGGGAAGCUGGGUGGACCACCAUCCAAGGCUCAAUACCCCAGAUGACCGAUAGCGAACCAGUACCGUGAGGGAACGGUGAAAAGCACCCCGGCGAGGGGAGUGAAACAGAGCCUGAAACCGUGUGCUCCCAGACUGUCAGAGCCCCUUUGGGGGUGAUGGCGUGCUUAUUGGAGAACGAACCGGCGAGUGACCGUCCGUGGCUAGGCUAAGGGAGGCCUACCCGGAGCCGGAGCGAAAGCGAGUCUGAACAGGGCGCGUGAGUCGCGGGCGGUCGACCCGAAACCAGGUGAGCUACCCAUGACCAGGCUGAAGCGCGGGUAAGAGCGCGUGGAGGGCCGCACCGACGUCUGUUGCAAAAGGCGCGGAUGAGUUGUGGGUAGAGGUGAAAUGCCAAUCGAACUUGGAGAUAGCUGGUUCUCCCCGAAAUGCCUUGAGGGGCAGCCUUGUGGCAGCGACCACCGGAGGUAGAGCACUGGAUCGACGCGGGGGCUUCACCGCUUACCAACUCGAACCAAACUCCGAAUGCCGGCUGGUUGGCCACAGGAGUGAGACGGCGGGUGCUAAGAUUCGUCGUCGAGAGGGAAACAACCCAGACCACCGGCUAAGGUCCCUCAGUGUGGACUCAGUGGACAAGGAAGUCCGGGCGCGGAGACAACCAGGAGGUUGGCUUAGAAGCAGCCACCCUUGAAAGAGUGCGUAAUAGCUCACUGGUCGAGUGUGCCCGGGCGCCGACAAUGUACCGGGGCUAAGUCCACCACCGACGCCGUGGAUGUGGAGCUUAUGCUUCAUAUGGUAGGGGAGCGUCGUCGCUGCGGUGAAGGGGAGGCGGAAGCCGACCUGGAGGGGCGACGAGUGCGAAUGCCGGUAUGAGUAGCGCGAGGAGGGUGCGAACCCCUCCCACCGAAUGUCGCAGGGUUCCGCAGCGAUGGUCAUCAGCUGCGGGUGAGUCGGGCCUAAGCCGAGGGCGCGAGCCGUAGGCGAUGGACAACCGGUCAACAUUCCGGUACCAGACCGACUCCGUGAUGAGUGCCACGGGGACGCAGGGGGGUAGGCCCAGCGGCGCGAGCCGUCCAAGCGUGUAGCCUUCGGGUGAGGCGUGAUGGUCAGGUGUGGAGACCCCACACCAAGUGGGUUGAGCCCGAACUGCCAAGAAAAGCCGUGGGUGCCAGGGGCUGUCUGCCCGUACCGCAAACCGACACAGGUCGACAGGUCGAGCAGACCAAGGUGGACGGGAGACCCCUCGUUAAGGAACUCGGCAAAAUGGCCCCGUAACUUCGGGAGAAGGGGCACCCCAGUAGGGUGAAGGCCCAUGCGGCUGGAGCCUGAGGGGGUCGCAGUGAGCAGGCCCAGGCGACUGUUUACCAAAAACACAGGUCUCUGCGAAGGCGCAAGCCGACGUAUAGGGGCUGAUGCCUGCCCAGUGCCGGAAGGUUAACCGGAGGAGUGCAAGCU